This 494-nucleotide ribosomal RNA is filed under the name uncultured bacterium. Its description in RNAcentral is "partial 16S ribosomal RNA". It matches the Rfam family "Bacterial small subunit ribosomal RNA", at positions 28 to 507 of the family's 1533-position model. The record is from RNAcentral.
GACGAACGCUGGCGGCGUGCUUAACACAUGCAAGUCGAACGGUGAAGCGCCUUCCUUUUUGGUGGGUGUGGAUGAGUGGCGAACGGGUGAGUAACACGUGAGUAACCUGCCCCCUUCUUCUGGAUAACCGCAUGAAAGUGUGGCUAAUACGGGAUAUUCUGGGUCUGUCGCAUGAUGGGUCUGGGAAAGAUAUUGUUUCGGUGGGGGAUGGGCUCGCGGCCUAUCAGCUUGUUGGUGGGGUGAUGGCCUACCAAGGCGGUGACGGGUAGCCGGCCUGAGAGGGUGGACGGUCACACUGGGACUGAGACACGGACCAGACUACUACGGGAGGCAGCAGUGGGGAAUAUUGCACAAUGGGCGCAAGCCUGAUGCAGCGACGCCGCGUGAGGGAUGGAGGCCUUCGGGUUGUGAACCUCUUUCGCCAGUGAAGCAGGCCUGCCUCGUUUGUGGGUGGGUUGACGGUAGCUGGAUAAGAAGCGCCGGCUAACUACGUG